This 441-nucleotide ribosomal RNA is filed under the name uncultured marine eukaryote. RNAcentral's name for it is "SSU rRNA". It matches the Rfam family "Eukaryotic small subunit ribosomal RNA", at positions 1 to 446 of the family's 1831-position model. The record is from RNAcentral.
AACCUGGUUGAUCCUGCCAGUAGUCAUAUGCUUGUCUCAAAGACUAAGCCAUGCAUGUCUAAGUAUAAAUGUUAUACAGUAAAACUGCGAAUGGCUCAUUAAAACAGUUAUAGUUUAUUUGGUACUCGAUUUACAUGGAUAACCGUGGUAAUUCUAGAGCUAAUACAUGCUUUAAAGCCCGACUUCUCGGAAGGGCCGUAUUUAUUAGAUAACAGACCAAUAUUCCUCGUGUCUAUAGUGGUGAGUCAUAGUAACUUUUCGGAUCGCAUGGGCUUUGUCCCGCGACAAACCAUUCAAGUUUCUGCCCCAUCAGCUUUCGAUGGUAGUGUAUUGGACUACCAUGGCUUUCACGGGUAACGGAGGAUUAGGGUUCGAUUCCGGAGAGGGAGCCUGAGAAACGGCUACCACUUCUAAGGAAGGCAGCCAGGCGCGUAAUUACCC